AUCCAAGAACACUAUUCACAUUCAGUUUAGCAGCACGGUACAGAUAUUUUUCGUCUGCCCUGUCUCUCACAGAAAAUUGUAAAUCUUCUGUUUUCGCUUCCAUUUCAACACGGGUCACUCUAGACUUAUAAUUUACUUCUAUAAAUCCAAUAAAAAUAGUAUCUCAUACUAUUUUUAUUUAUUUCCAUUUUUAUAUUUAAAAUCCGGUACCUUACAACUUUAGACUACUCAGUUGCGCCCUAACGGUAUAACUUUGCAACGAAUACUUUUUCUCAUUCAAUCGAACAAAGAGUAAAAAGAUUUCUAUUAUGCCCCGAGAGUGUAAAUUUGGAACGAAUCGAUGUAAACGUUCACAAGAACCAAAACCGGAACAAAAUUAGACUACUCAGUUGAGCCCUAACAGUAUAACUUUGCAACUAGUACUUUUUCUCAUUCAAUCGAACAAAGAGCAAAACCUAAUUAUAGUGUUCUCUUAUGCCCCGAGAGUGUAAAUUUGGAACGAAUCGAUGUAAACGUUCACAAGAACAAAAAACGGAACAAAGUUAGACUACUUAGUUGAGCCCUAACAGUAUAACUUUUCAAGAAGUACUUUUUCUCAUUCAAUCGAACAAAGAGCAAAACCUAAUUUUAUUGUUCUAUUAUGCACCGGGAGUGUAAAUUUGGAACGAAUCGAUGACAACGUUUACAGGAACCAAAACCGGAACAAUAUUAAACUUCUCAGUUGUGCCAUAACAGUAUAACUUUGCAACGAGUACUUUUUCUCAUUCUAUCGAAUAAGGAGUAAAAGCUUUCUAUUAUGCUUCGAGAGUGUAAAUUUGGAACGAAUCAAUGUAAACGAUCAAAAUAACCAUAACCGGAACAAAAUUAGACUACUCAGUUGCGUCGUAACAGUAUAACUUUGCAACUAGUUCUUUUUCUCAUUCAAUCGAACAAAGAGCAAAACCUAAUUAUAUUCUUCUAUUAUGCCCCGAGAGUGUAAAUUUGGAAAGAAUCGAUGUAAACGUUCACAAGAACCAAAACCGGAACAAAGUUAGAUAACUCAGUUGAGCCCUAACAGUAUUACUUUGCAACUAGUACUUUUUCUUAUUCAAUCGAACAAAGAGCAAAACCUAAUUUUAUUGUUCUAUUAUGCCCCGGGAGGGUAAAUUUGGAACGAAUCGUUGUCAACGUUCACAAGAACCAAAACCGGAACAAAGUUAGACUACACAGUUGAGCCCUAACUGUAUAAUUUUGCAACUAGUACUUUUUUUCAUUCAAUCGAACAAUGAGCAAAACCUAAUUAUAUUCUUCUAUUAUGCCCCGAGAGUGUAAAUUUGAAACGAAUCGUUGUCAACGUUCAUAAGAACCAAAACCGGAACAAUGUUAGACUACUCAGUUGAGCUCUAACAGUAUAACUUUGCAACUACUACUUUUUCUCAUUCAAUCGAUCAAAGAGCAAAACCUAAUUAUAUUAUUCUAUUAUGCCCCGAGAGAGUAAAUUGGGAACCAAUCCAUGUCAACGUUCACAAGAACCAAAACAAGAACAACAUGAGACUACUCAGUUGCGCCCUAGCAGUAUAACUUUGCAACAAGUACUUUUUCUCAUUCUAUCGAACAAAGAGUUAAAAGCUAAUUAUAUUGUUCUAUUACGCCCCGAGAGUUGUAAUUUCGAACGAAUCGAUGUCAACGUUCACAAUAACCAAAACCGAAACCAUAUUAGGCUACUCAGUUGCACCCUAACAGUAUAACUUUGCAAUCUCAUUCUAUCGAAGAAAGAGUAAAACCUAAUUAUAUUGUUCUAUUAUGCCCCAUGAGAGUAAAUUUGGAACCAAUCGAUGUCAACGUUCACAAGAACCAAAAUUGGAACAACAUUAAACAACUCAGUUGCGCUCUAACAGUUGAACAUUGCAACAAGUACUUUUUCUCAUUCAAUCGAACAAAGUGUAAAAGCUAAUUAUAUAUUAUACCCCGAGAGGGUAAAUUUGAAACAAAUCGAUGUCAACGCUCACAAGAACCAAAACCGGAACAAUAUUAGACUACUCAGUUGCUCAAUAACAGUAUAACUUUGCAACGAGUACUUUUUCUCAUUCUAUCGAACAAAGAGUUAAACCUAAUUAUAUUGUUCUAUUAUGCCCCGAAAGAGUAAAUUUGGAACGAAUCGAUGUCAAUGUUCACAAGAACAAAAAUCGGAACAACAUUAGACUACUGAGUUGCGCCCUAACAGUAUAACUUUGCAAGGGGUACUUUUUCUCAUUCUAUCGAACAAAGAGUAAAAUCUAAUAAUAUUGUUCUAUUAUGCCCCUAGAGUGUAAAUUUGGAACGAAUCGAUGUCAGCGUUCACAAGAACCAAAACCGGAACAACAUUAAACUACUCAGUUGUGCCCCAACAGUAUAACUUUGCAACGA
Molecule: long non-coding RNA, 2385 nt
Filed under: Ananas comosus (pineapple)
Lineage: Eukaryota; Viridiplantae; Streptophyta; Magnoliopsida; Poales; Bromeliaceae
Description: long non-coding RNA (ACOM_LNC039813)
Source: RNAcentral